Molecule: ribosomal RNA, 1427 nt
Filed under: uncultured bacterium
Lineage: Bacteria
Description: bacterial SSU rRNA
Rfam family: Bacterial small subunit ribosomal RNA
Source: RNAcentral
UGGCGGCGUGCUACACAUGCAAGUCGAGCGGGGCAUUUUCCUUCGGGAGGGUGUUCAGCGGCGGACGGGUGAGUAACGCGUGGAUAAUCUGUCUUAGACACGGGGAUAACCAAGGGAAACUUUGGCUAAUACCCGAUAAGCCGACGGUACCGCAUGGUACUGACGGAAAAGGAGCAAUCCGGUUUUUGAGGAGUCCGCGUCUGAUUAGUUAGUUGGUGGGGUAACGGCCUACCAAGACUGCGAUCAGUAGCCGACCUGAGAGGGUGAUCGGCCACAUUGGGACUGAGACACGGCCCAAACUCCUACGGGAGGCAGCAGUGGGGGAUAUUGCACAAUGGGCGGAAGCCUGAUGCAGCAACGCCGCGUGAGGGAAGAAGGUUUUCGGAUCGUAAACCUCUAUCGACAGGGACGAAAUAUGACGGUACCUGAGUAAGAAGCCCCGGCUAACUACGUGCCAGCAGCCGCGGUAAAACGUAGGGGGCAAGCGUUAUCCGGAAUUACUGGGUGUAAAGGGUGAGUAGGCGGCUUAUCAAGCCACAUGUGAAAUGCCUUGGCUUAACCGAGGAACUGCAUGAGGAACUGAUAGGCUAGAGUACAGGAGAGGUAAGCGGAAUUCCUAGUGUAGCGGUGAAAUGCGUAGAUAUUAGGAAGAACACCAGUGGCGAAGGCGGCUUACUGGACUGGUUACUGACGCUGAGUCACGAAAGCGUGGGGAGCGAACAGGAUUAGAUACCCUGGUAGUCCACGCCGUAAACGAUGAUUGCUAGGUGUUGGGUCGAGAGAUUCGGUGCCGGAGCAAACGCAAUAAGCAAUCCACCUGGGGAGUACGGCCGCAAGGCUGAAACUCAAAGGAAUUGACGGGGGCCCGCACAAGCGGUGGAGCAUGUGGUUUAAUUCGACGCAACGCGAAGAACCUUACCAAGGCUUGACAUGGAAAUGACCACUUCAGAGAUGAGGUUUUCCCUUCGGGGACAUUUCACACAGGUGGUGCAUGGUUGUCGUCAGCUCGUGUCGUGAGAUGUUGGGUUAAGUCCCGCAACGAGCGCAACCCUUACGUCCAGUUGCCAGCGAGUGAAGUUGGGCUACACUGGAGGGACUGCCGUGGACAACACGGAGGAAGGUGGGGAUGAUGUCAAAUCAUCAUGCCCCUUAUGUCUUGGGCUACACACGUGCUACAAUGGGACCUACAGCGUGAUGCGAAGUUGUGAAGCGGAGCGAAACACGAAAAGGUUCCCCAGUUCGGAUUGCAGGCUGCAACCCGCCUGCAUGAAGUUGGAAUCGCUAGUAAUCGCGAAUCAGCAUGUCGCGGUGAAUACGUUCCCGGGCCUUGUACACACCGCCCGUCACACCAUGGGAGUUGGAAGCACCCGAAGCCCGUGACCUAACCGAAAGGGAGGAGCGGUCGAAGUGAAGCCCAGGGAGAGGGG